CCUACGGGAGGCAGCAGUGAGGAAUAUUGGUCAAUGGGCGCGAGCCUGAACCAGCCAAGUAGCGUGAAGGAUGACUGCCCUACGGGUUGUAAACUUCUUUUAUAAAGGAAUAAAGUGAGGCACGUGUGCCUUUUUGUAUGUACUUUAUGAAUAAGGAUCGGCUAACACCGGGCUAGCAGCCGCGGGAAUACGGAGGAUCCGAGCGUUACCCGGAUUUAUUGGGUUUAAAGGGAGCGUAGAUGGGUUUUUAAGUCAGUUGUGAAAGUUUGCGGCUCAACCGUAAGAUUGCAAUUGAUACUGGCAGCCUUGAGUACAGUUGAGGUAGGCGGAAUUCGUGGUGUAGCGGUGAAAUGCUUAGAUAUCACGAAGAACUCCGAUUGCGAAGGCAGCCUACUAAACUGACACUGACAUUGAUGCUCGAAAGUGUGGGUAUCAAACAGGAUUAGAUACCCUAGUAGUC
This 460-nucleotide ribosomal RNA is filed under the name uncultured bacterium. Its description in RNAcentral is "partial 16S ribosomal RNA". It matches the Rfam family "Bacterial small subunit ribosomal RNA", at positions 338 to 795 of the family's 1533-position model. The record is from RNAcentral.